RNAcentral lists this ribosomal RNA (1692 nucleotides) under Triticum aestivum (bread wheat). RNAcentral's name for it is "partial small subunit ribosomal RNA". The record is from RNAcentral. Lineage: Eukaryota; Viridiplantae; Streptophyta; Magnoliopsida; Poales; Poaceae.
AUGGAGACUGUCCUCCACAACCACGCCCUCCACCCGCGCGUGCCGCAGCCGCUGCUCCUCCACGGGCCCCGCGGCGUCGGCAAGUCCACGCUCCUCCUCAACCGCCUCCUCCCUCAGUGGUCCGAGCCCCCGCACUACGCCGCCGUCGUCGACUUCCUCCACCCCUCUCCCAGUUCCCCCGCUCAUGCGCCCUGGUCUCUCCUCUCAGACACGCCCCCCUCCCUGCCCUCCCUCCGCCUCCGGCUCGAGUCCGCGCUGGAGGAACUCACCCGCGCCGCAGUACUCCGAGGUGCCGUCGGUUCCAACGACGUGCUCGCCGCGCUCUCGCGGUCCCACGGCCUCCACACCAUGCUCUCUCGCCUCGCGGGCCCUGCCUCCCGCCGCGGCCAGGGCACUAACUCGGUUCCGGUGCUCUGGGCAAGGGCUGUCCUAGCUGCAACCUCCUCGGCCCGUGGUGACGACCCCACCUUCCGCAUUGGCGAGGGGGAGGCAACGAACUGCUCCAUGGAGGAGAGGGCGUACAUGCAGGAGGCCAUGGCGGCGCUGCGUGUGGCCAAGGAAGUUCUCGGGAUGCAGGAGGGGUGGAGGAAGGAGGCGGUGCGGGAGAUGAAUAGGACAGGCCGGUUCUCCCGUCCACUGGCCAAUUCAGCCACAGACUGGCCAUGCCUCCUGCUAGAUGUGUUGUCAGGCGCAGCCGAGGAGGAUUUUUUCCAGCCAAAGUUGGUGCUGAACAACGUUGAUGCCCUGAGGAAGGCGACAUGCGAGGACGAUACAAUGGUACCCGCAGCAGUGUACCAUGACAGCUUCAUUUGGAGGGUGAUAGCACUUGGUGCUAAUGAACAGUGCUUACCGGUCAUUAUGUCCACCUCAGAUGGAUAUUAUUCUUCCCAAGCAUUCGUCGAUUUUGGUUUUCCUAACAUCUUCAUUUCUCGUGAGACGUUUGGUUGGACACCACAAGAAGCUAAGCUGCAUAUGGUUUCUGAGUUCUUCAGUGAACAGGAGUGGAAAGUCGUUGAUGAGCUUCUUGGACCAAACCCACGACAAUUAUGUGAGAUAUAUAUGCUAAAGCAAAAGGCGAAUGGCCCAGAGGUUUUGCAUGACACAAACAUUGAGGAAAUUAUUGACACAUACCUGGCACACUUGCAAGUAUCUGUUGUGAAUCCCGCAAUGCAAACAGCAUUAAGUAUGGUGCAGAAGUUUGCUUCUGAUGUACGCGAGGGUAAAGUACCAGAGAACAGAUUGUCUUUUGGCGCACCUUGGAGACAUCCACCUCGGGCUGACAAUCCUGACAUGUGCUAUAAGUGGGCAAAGAUUCAACUGAUGGAUUUUGUCCAGUCUUAUGUAAACACAGAAUUUGGGUUGAAUUACCUAGCAGAUGAUAGCCUGGAAAUAUUGGAUGAUCCUGCAGCAGUCGCCAUGAUGGAGGUUGGCUUACUUUAUCAACAGAGAGAUCCAUCCUUUGUGCGACCAAUCACACGUGGGAUUCAGCGUUGUCUUGCUAGAUGGUGCGUUCUUGUACUUAUGUGGUACUGUAAAUGUUUUGUUUCUUAUGGCACUUUUUUUGUGGUUAUGCGAAGGCUUGUUCAGCAGAGACUAGAGUUGACCCUUCAAGAAUCAAUAUCAUUCUCAUGGCAACGUGUAAUUCGUGGGCGAAGCUAUCGACACUUGAUGAAGGAAGUCGGCUACAAGUAA